CAAUAGCGUAUAUUAAAGUUGUUGCAGUUAAAAGCUCGUAGUUGGAUUUCUGGGAGGGUGCUAAUGUCCGCCGUAGCGCGUGUGCAGCCGCGCCCUUCCAUCCUUCUGUUAACGCCUCUUGGCAUUUGUUUGCUGGUGGCGGGCUCAGAUAUUUUACCUUGAGAAAAUUAGAGUGUUUCAGGCAGGCUAGGCCGGAAUAUAUUAGCAUGGAAUAAUGGAAUAGGACUAUGGUCUCUUUGUUGGUUUGUAGGGACGUGCAGUAAUAGAUUAAUUAAGGGAGUAUUGGGGGUCGGAUUAGUAUUUAAUUUAGUUCAGAGGUGGGAAGUUACUUCAGAUUUGUUUAAA
This 345-nucleotide ribosomal RNA is filed under the name uncultured eukaryote. Its description in RNAcentral is "bacterial SSU rRNA". It matches the Rfam family "Eukaryotic small subunit ribosomal RNA", at positions 592 to 930 of the family's 1831-position model. The record is from RNAcentral.